This 257-nucleotide ribosomal RNA is filed under the name uncultured bacterium. RNAcentral describes it as "partial 16S ribosomal RNA". It matches the Rfam family "Bacterial small subunit ribosomal RNA", at positions 521 to 776 of the family's 1533-position model. The record is from RNAcentral.
UCAUACGUAGGAUCCAAGCGUUAUCCGGAAUUACUGGGCGUAAAGAGUUGCGUAGGUGGAUUGUUAAGUGGGGCGUGAAAGUGUACGGCUCAACCGUAUUAUUGCGUUCCAAACUGGCAAACUAGAGUGCGAGAGAGGUAGAUGGAAUUCCCAGUGUAGGAGUGAAAUCCGUAGAUAUUGGGAGGAACACCGAUGGCGUAGGCAGUCUACUGGCUCGUUACUGACACUAAGGCACGAAAGCGUGGGGAGCAAACGGG